ACCAAGAUGGCCGAGUGGUUAAGGCGGUGGAUUUAAGUCUGUGAACUUCUCAACUCCCCUAACGAAAGUUUCCUGGGUUCGAACCCCAGUCUUGGUA
Non-coding RNA from Claviceps citrina, 97 nucleotides. NCBI's taxonomy places the organism in Eukaryota, Fungi, Ascomycota, Sordariomycetes, Hypocreales, Clavicipitaceae. The record is from the annotation of a GenBank genome assembly.